Molecule: ribosomal RNA, 501 nt
Filed under: uncultured bacterium
Lineage: Bacteria
Description: bacterial SSU rRNA
Rfam family: Bacterial small subunit ribosomal RNA
Source: RNAcentral
UCAGAUUGAACGCUGGCGGUAUGCUUAACACAUGCAAGUCGAACGGUAACAUUGGAGCUUGCUCCAGAUGACGAGUGGCGGACGGGUGAGUAAUGCAUAGGAAUCUGCCUAGUAGUGGGGGACAACAUGUGGAAACGCAUGCUAAUACCGCAUACGCCCUACGGGGGAAAGGGGGGGAUCUUCGGACCUCUCGCUAUUAGAUGAGCCUAUGUUAGAUUAGCUAGUUGGUGAGGUAAUGGCUCACCAAGGCGACGAUCUAUAGCUGGUCUGAGAGGAUGAUCAGCCACACUGGGACUGAGACACGGCCCAGACUCCUACGGGAGGCAGCAGUGGGGAAUAUUGGACAAUGGGCGAAAGCCUGAUCCAGCAAUACCGCGUGUGUGAAGAAGGCCCGAGGGUUGUAAAGCACUUUCAAUUGGGAGGAAUACCUGCUGAGAUAAUAUCAGGCAGAUUGACAUUACCCUUAGAAGAAGCACCGGCUAACUCCGUGCCAGCAGCCGC